Molecule: ribosomal RNA, 111 nt
Filed under: Dictyobacter kobayashii
Lineage: Bacteria; Bacillati; Chloroflexota; Ktedonobacteria; Ktedonobacterales; Dictyobacteraceae
Also listed under: 1 other name
Source: RNAcentral
GGUGAUUGUAGCGAAGAGGGCACACCCGUUCCCAUCCCGAACACGGAAGUUAAGCUCUUCAGCUCCAAUGAUACUGCGUGGGCAACUGCGUGGGAAAAUAGGACAUCGCCG